This 60-nucleotide microRNA precursor is filed under the name Xyrichtys novacula (pearly razorfish). Lineage: Eukaryota; Metazoa; Chordata; Actinopteri; Labriformes; Labridae. The record is from RNAcentral.
AGCAUGAAGGUUUCAGUCUCACAUUAAAUUUGUUUAAUGUGGGACUGAAACAGUCAUGCU